GCAGCACCAGAGGCACUCCAGUUGGCCAGCUACUGGUCAAAGGACAUUUAGUAUAAUGCCAAGCUUUUAAACGUUGUGUUUUUAAAUACAUUACAACUAUACCCUCAGUUCACUUCUGAUACGAUAAAAAAGUAAUUGUUUUGCUUUGUAUGGAUAGCUUUGCAAAUCCUUAAUUUUAAUAAUUGUUACUGUUAAUAAAGGUGGGGUUUUCAAUUUUAUAAAUUGAAUUAUAUGACAGAGAGGGAAAGGUAAGGGAGAAUAAAAUUAAACAAUGGCUUGGGCAAGAAAACUGGUUACAGAUAAGAGCAAUCUGUGCAUAUUGCAAAACAAAAGAAAAUAUCAAUAUGGUUAAGAGAGAAGAUACCGCCUUUGAAAAGAUAAUAAGAGAAAAAGGGGAAGGAAAGAAGGCACAGGCCAGCAAAAUAUAUACAAUGCUAAUAGAGGCCGAUGGAUGUACAAUACAGGACUUGAAAACUAUGUGGGAAACGGAGUUACAAAUCUCGGAACAAGAAAUGAGAAAUGUGGAGGAAAAUAUUGCACAAAUGGUAUCGCACACCCUGCCAAUUAGCAUACUACUAUAAAGAGGGGAGUAGUCAGUGCUGGCAUGGAUGCCACCAGAAAGGGCACUUUAUGCACAUGAUGUGGGAAUGUGAAUAUGUACAAGAUUUUUGGCAGACUAUACAAAAUGUGUCAAAUCAAAUAUUAGGAAAUGAGUGGGUCAUAACAAAGGAAUUAGCGGUAUUAGGGAAAAGAGAGGAAAUGGGAAAUAAAAGGGAAAUAAAAGAAGCAAUAAUUGAAUGUGCACAAGCAGUAAUAGUAUUAGGGUGGAAAGAUAAAUCAAAAUGGACAAUAAAUAAAUGGUACCAUUAUAUGGUGGAGCAAAUGGAAUUUGAAAUUAUGAAUGUGAAAUUAAAUGAUUUAAAAAUCAAUGAAAAUCGAAUGAGAGAAAUGGAAGAUAGAUGGACAAGGGUAAUGAACUAUAUUAUGAAUCAUUCUGGAGAUCAGGUCAUAAGAAAUAAGAUACAAAUGCUAUAUAGCAUACAGGA
Molecule: non-coding RNA, 1046 nt
Organism: Anolis sagrei ordinatus
Lineage: Eukaryota; Metazoa; Chordata; Lepidosauria; Squamata; Anolidae
Source: RefSeq, a predicted model, not a curated record